UGCAUCUGAAAUCAGUCAAGAACACCCGCUGAAUUUAAGCAUA
Molecule: ribosomal RNA, 43 nt
Filed under: Begonia fenicis
Lineage: Eukaryota; Viridiplantae; Streptophyta; Magnoliopsida; Cucurbitales; Begoniaceae
Description: partial 28S ribosomal RNA
Source: RNAcentral